This 164-nucleotide ribosomal RNA is filed under the name Sidotheca trilobata. RNAcentral's name for it is "5.8S ribosomal RNA". It matches the Rfam family "5.8S ribosomal RNA". Rfam says of the family: 5.8S ribosomal RNA (5.8S rRNA) is a component of the large subunit of the eukaryotic ribosome. It is transcribed by RNA polymerase I as part of the 45S precursor that also contains 18S and 28S rRNA. The record is from RNAcentral. Lineage: Eukaryota; Viridiplantae; Streptophyta; Magnoliopsida; Caryophyllales; Polygonaceae.
AGAACGACUCUCGGCAACGGAUAUCUCGGCUCUCGCAUCGAUGAAGAACGUAGCGAAAUGCGAUACUUGGUGUGAAUUGCAGAAUCCCGUGAACCAUCGAGUCUUUGAACGCAAGUUGCGCCCGAAGCCAUCCGGCCGAGGGCACGUCUGCCUGGGCGUCACGC